RNAcentral lists this ribosomal RNA (253 nucleotides) under uncultured archaeon. RNAcentral's name for it is "partial 16S ribosomal RNA". It matches the Rfam family "Archaeal small subunit ribosomal RNA", at positions 474 to 726 of the family's 1478-position model. The record is from RNAcentral.
UCCCAGCGGUCCAAGUCGCAACCACAAUUAUUGGGUCUAAAACAUCCGUAGCUUGUUUGUUAAGUUUCUUGUGAAAUCCUGCAUCUUAAGUGUAGGGCGUGCAAGAAAUACUGGCGAACUUGAGACCGGAAGACGUAAGGAGUAUGAUUAAGGUAGUAGUAAAAUACGUUGAUCUUAAUCAGACUAACAACAGCGAAGGCACCUUACGAGUACGGAUCUGACAGUGAGGGAUGAAGGCUAGGGGCGCGAAAGG